CUCAAAACGUGUAUAUUUUGUAAUGCAUUUUAAAUUUCUCUUUUGUGAAGAGCACUGAUUUUUCAAAUUUUGGGGCUGCUGCUCCUGCCAGGCAUCUGUGUGUUCUGUGCAGCAGAGAUCGAAGACAUUGAUCAUCUUUUUUUCAAAUGUCCUUUCUCCAAACAAGUGUGGUCGAAUAUCGCUUUAUGGCUGGAUGUUAAUUUGGUGGGUGAGCAGGGUGGAUACAUGCAUCUGGAGCAGUUCAUUUUAAGCUUGAUUGGUAAGAUGCCAAAGCAGAAAGUGUGUUUGGUUUGGUUAACAACAGUUUGGUCUAUUUGGAAUGCAAGAAACAACUUCAUGUUCAACAAUGAGGAUGUUGUUCUAGAUGAAGUUAUAGUUAAUAUUAAAGUGGUUUCUUGGAUUUGGUUAGUGAUAGGUUCUAAGACAGGAAAUUGUAAUCCAUUAUUUUUCUGGUUUCAAGCACCUUUAGAUAUACUAAAAGGUGCCUAAUUUUUCUGCUUAACUCUGUAAUGGCUUUUGGGUUGUUGGUACUGCUAGUACCUCUCCCAGCUUAUUAAUUAAUUUGGCUUAUCAAAAAAAAAUAUUUUAAAAUUAAAAAUAUAUUUUAAUUGCAUAUUUUUUAUUA
This is a long non-coding RNA of Vicia villosa (hairy vetch), 625 nucleotides long. RefSeq lists it as uncharacterized. The record is from RefSeq and is a predicted model, not a curated record. Lineage: Eukaryota; Viridiplantae; Streptophyta; Magnoliopsida; Fabales; Fabaceae. The transcript is spliced from 2 exons.